RNAcentral lists this long non-coding RNA (225 nucleotides) under Elaeis guineensis (African oil palm). RNAcentral describes it as "long non-coding RNA (EGUI_LNC043869)". The record is from RNAcentral. Lineage: Eukaryota; Viridiplantae; Streptophyta; Magnoliopsida; Arecales; Arecaceae.
CUCGUAGCUCACCUUCUCACUUCCCGAACUCCAGGCUGAAACCCUGAAGAACUCACUGAAACCCUGCACAUAUUUUUUCUUUCUUUUCUUUCUUUUUCUCUCGGAAUGAUAUAGACCUUCACCUUACACACAAGGAUUUCUCACGCCCAGAUUUUCUCUCCAAAAUUUUUCUUGCACACGCCCCACUCUUCUCCUCCUUUUAAAACAACAACCAAGGUCUUAUCC